ACUGAUCCCAGUUCACUGGAGUACCAGACACUUACUGGUGAAGCACCUACACUCAAUGGAGAGUCCAGUAUCCCAUCUGUUCCAGAUGAGGUCACAGAAGAGCUGAGGACAGUUCUGGAGUCAUGUCUGACCAGGGAGCACCUCUGCAGCGACCUGUACCU
This is a long non-coding RNA of Pleuronectes platessa (European plaice), 161 nucleotides long. RefSeq lists it as uncharacterized. NCBI's taxonomy places the organism in Eukaryota, Metazoa, Chordata, Actinopteri, Pleuronectiformes, Pleuronectidae. The record is from RefSeq and is a predicted model, not a curated record. The transcript is spliced from 3 exons.